Molecule: RNA transcript, 5300 nt
Organism: Gallus gallus (chicken)
Lineage: Eukaryota; Metazoa; Chordata; Aves; Galliformes; Phasianidae
Gene: CALHM3
Gene name: calcium homeostasis modulator 3
Exons: 3
Source: RefSeq, a predicted model, not a curated record
CGCUGCCGCUGCCCUCCGCGGGGCUGCGCCGGCUCCGCGGCGGCUCGGUACGGCGGGGCGGGGCGGCGGCACCGAGGCCCCCCCGCCGCUCCCCGUCGCUAUGGAGACAGCUGUUCCGCUCCGGGAGGGAAGGAGGGGGCGCGCAGCCCAGAUGUGCCACCGUCGAUGCCACAGGCAGCUGACCACUCAUUUGCAAUCUGUGCUGAGAGGUCAAUCAAGAUAAUGCAAUCCACCCACAAAUUUCAUCUGAAAUGAGCAUCAGCUCCACGAAAGGUGCUAACAUCUUGAUUAUCACUGUGAAUGAAAGUGAGAGAAAGAUGCUGCACAGUCACAUCUGCUCACGGAACAUCCACUGCUUUAAGCCACGAUAACAUCCAUGAACUCUCAAAAAUUACCCAAAAGCCAGGUGCAAGGAUGAGCUUCAGCUGUUCAGCUCUGGCAUAUGUCAGAGAGAGAGAGACUGGAGGAGGAGAAGCAGCAAGACAGCGCGAGGGGAGCAUCUACUGUCAUGUGAGAGAAGAUCUUGCUAGAGAAGGAGCUUUGUUCCACUGGGCCCUGCUAACUUCACACACACAUUCAUCUAAUUCUUUGCCUUGUAUAUUGAAGAAGAAUCUGCAGAAGAUGGAUGUUGUUUGAUUGGCCCAAAUUAUAAGCAGCCUAGCAUCGGAACUUCUACAGGUGUGGAAGAAAAAAGGCACACCUAUCCAUACAACAUAUGCAUCUGCAUGCUGCAGGAAGAAACAGAUGAUUAGUUGGGAUAAUAUCCUAGUUUGUUUGGCUGCUUUUUUAUUUGCCUGAACGACAACUGAGAACAGGCCUUCUUGAUGCGGCCCAGAAUUCAUCGCUCCUUCCUUCUCUUCACCCAAAAUGGCACUAUCAGUAGUGAGAUUUCAUACCUAUGUAAACUAUUCCUCUUUUGACAGCAGUUGGCUUCACUUGGAAAGCUUUGUCCCUGUGCUGAAGGCAGGGCUCUGCUCACUGCCAGCUCAGAUGAUGCACUAUGCCAAAACAAAACACACUGCAGCAGCUGUGUUGGAUUAUCACUGCCUGUCAGGCAGACCAGACCCCUACUCCCAGAAGUACAGCUCAGACUUCCCCCAGCACACUGAGGUGCAUCUACCAGCUCCAUACAUUUACCAGCAUCGCAGCAGUCUUCACACCUAUUCACUUUACUUUGGGGGUAACCUCUCUCUAAAUAAUUCCUUUGGCAAUGGACUUUCCCUUCAGUCGCUUCAACAUGAUGGUCGAGAUGGUGGACACUUCUACUAAAGUGGCAGACAGAACACUGUGAAAGAAGGAAAUCUGAGGGGAUAUUUCCCUUUCAAAGGAGAUCCCACAGUCUUUGUGGAUCUAAAUGGGUUCCUGUUAAAGCAGGAACAAAUCAGGACCAAUGACAGAGGCUAGUGCAAAUCUCAUAUCCCAUUCCUAUUUCUGCAUCCAAAUAUUUGCUUUUAAUUAGCUCUACUUCCUACAUUAACAGUGGAGGUGUUCAGAUUUCUAAUUGGGUCAUUGCUAGCCAACACUGCAUCCUGCUGAGAAAUCAGCUUCCUUAGGGAAUACAAUGAAAAACAAACCUUUAGCAAACAUGGCCAGUUAGAGAAAGGCAAGUGUGUUAAGGGCUACUAAUCUGCAUGCCUGAACAUGCUUGACAUCCCCAACACCUAAAAGUUGGUUUUAGAUUGUCAAAGGAGGAAUUCUGGCACACUACUCAAUAGUUAACUGUCAAAGUAUUGGUCGCUUUGCCUACAGGUGAAGUUAUUUUAUGGUUUUAUUUCCCAGCCAUAUUGCAUACGAGGACUGGUGAUGUUCUUUCACCUUUCUGGUCCAGAUCCUUCCCUCACAGAACAUUCCUCAUUGGAUUAGCUGCUGGCAGCUCCCGGCCCCAGACAGACCCAUGCUUUGACUGACUGCUCAGUUCCCUCUUGGCAUCCAUGAGGAUUCCUAUCUAAUAGCACUGAAUUUGACUGGACUUGGAAAUAACAGCAGUCACCUUCUCAUCCCAGUCUACAGAGGCUGUAACACCGGUGGCAAUGGAUGUGCAGCUCACUGUUAGCAUCUGAAGUCACAGUUUUUCUUUACCCUUAGACUCAAAUGGUGGGAACCAGCCAGAACUUCAGAAAUGUCAAGAUUAGUAUUGUGUAGUCCCGCUGAUUCUCAAAGACAGUCUGUGGUGUGUUCACAAUGGGAAGCACUUCUCACCAGGAAAAUAUCAGGGACUGCUGAAUUCAGCAAAACAGGUGCAACUAUUCUUUUUAUUUUAUUUCCCCAGAGUACAGUCCUGCCCCAGCAGUGAAGACAAACCCCACAGGCAAAUGUCAGCCUUAAUUCUGGCUUGACAGCCAGGAACAGCCAGCGUGCAUUUCAAAACAAAUCUCAAAAUGCACAACCAAACCAGCGAAGAACAGAAGAGAAACACGAGUCCCCAGGAGGGAAUAUUUGAAUAAUCUUGCUGACAGAUCUGUUCUUUUCUCCAGAUUUUCAGUCUGCACAAAGGAUUACAAUACGAAAUCAGAUGCCGUCACUGGGCUCUGAUGAAUGUGAACAUAAGGACUAAACACUGCCUACCCAUAGGAAUAAAUACUCCAGCUCCAACUGCACCACUCUCAUUGUUCACGCUGUCACUACAAUCCUGCAGGCAGCAUUACAGCCUCAUGGCUGGGCAUUGCCCAACAUUAUUCACUACAUCAGAUAGAGAUUUUCAGCUCUUGUCUAGUGAUGAACAUACUCCUGACAUUAUCAUCUCUUCUCAGAGUCACCACAUGAGUUUUACAUACUGGAUUCAAAAGGCAAAUUUGCCUCUCUGCUUAAGAAUUAAUGCUGAGAUUCUCACUGUCUGUAAGAUGUUUGAAAAGCAAAAUCCCCUUUAAAGUUGCAAGUCUACCUCACUAUUAGACUUUUUUGUUUAGUGUUUAAAUAGCUGUCUAUUAAAAACUUGCAACUCCUUUCCAGUCUGAAUUUGCUGAGAUGAGUUUCAUGCCAGUGGAACUCAUUAGAUGUUCUUAUAUUUGAUGCAGCAGCCAAAAUAGAUGCUUACAAUUUAUGAUUCCAUCACUCAACCUUCUCUUCCACGAAUUGAAAAGGUCAAAGUCCUAGUUACAGCAUUGCUAGCAGUUCCAGCCAACUGCCAAGACAGGCAUUUUCAUAGAAUCAUAAAGGUUGGAAAGACCACAAAGAUCAUUGAGUGCAACCAUCAGCCCAUUCCUGUGCCUGCUCUAGACAACAUCACUCAGUGCCACAUCCACACUUGUCUUGAAAAGCUCCAGAGGUGAUGACCCCACCACCUCCCUGGGCAGCCCGUUCCAACGUCUCAGAGUUAUUACCUUCACCUUCUCCAUCUUUAUAGCAGUCAGAACACUGAGGUGGGAUCUAACCUCAUUUUGGAAAGGAUUUGUGUUGAAACGCUUCUCUCCGCUCUGAAAGCAGAGAGAAGCUGACAAAAACAGUGAUUAUACCAGACCCAGAGAUUGAGAAUUUGAUAAUCUGAAAUAAUCCAAAAUACAACCCUUGCCUUACACUUAUAUGGCUAAUGGUUCUGCUCCACUGCUCAGGUCAGAAAGCUGUGGUUUGGAGCCAGAAAAUAUCAGAGCAAAGUCAGCUCCUGGCAACCAGGAGCAGCAAAGCAAAUCUGUGGUCAUUUCUUAGCUACUGUUUGCUAGCUUGUUCCCUUGCAAAAAAAAAAAAAGUCAGCUUGAACCACACAGAGAUGAUUUACUCACAAGGAACAAGCGUAGCUCUCAGCAAUAAAUGCAGCAGAUCAGAUGGGAAGGAAAGGCUGGUGAAAAUGGGGUAAAUACCAGGAAGGGUGUGGGGGGAACUGAGCAGGCUGAAGAUGCUGGAGGUGCUGCUCCUUGGCUGGAAAAUGAACUGCAAGAAAGCUUCUUGACCACAGGCUGCUGAGGAACCCUGGCCAAAACCUCAGGUAUUUUCUAUAGUGUCACUAUAGCAUGUUAUUUUGCAGAGAAGGGCUGCCAUCAGAAAAGGUACAUUUCAUGAGGUUUAAAGACAAGAAGCAUCUCAAAGGGACAAGCACCCACUGCAGAGCAACGGGAGAAGAGACUGGAAAGUUUGCCAGCAGAGGGUCUUGAUUAAAGCAUGAAGGAACAGAGGGUGGUAAUUAUGAUGCCACAGGAUCCUAUCAUCCCACACACUGUGAUGCUGGCUAUUUGCUUCAAAAACACAGGAGUGGUUGGAGAGAUACAGGAGGUUGCAAAAGGAAAAGUGAGGAGAUGAUUAUCCUCUGCAGGACAGAAGGAACAGCAGGUAAUUAUUGCCUGCAGGACCACAAGGAUUUGGCUUGAUGCAGAGGUAUGGAAAAUUACAUGCCCUAUAAGACCAUUUCCCUGCUGAGUCCACAACAGUUAGAAUUCAGUAGGGUUAUGGAUUGCAGUCCUUAAUUUUGUCUUCCUAAGGAAUUUUGUGCUUUGAGGAUCAGAGGGCAGAAUUGCUUUGCAAAGAACCAGAUGGAGAUGGCAUGGUUUUGUCCUUAGUACUCUACAAGAACUAGCUGUGGUUGGGAUGGCUAUUUGGUUUUUUCUUCAUCCAAAUCACUGUGUGAUAAGUUUAUUGAUUUCUUGGGAUUGCUUCUUCUAAAAAGAUGUGAAUUCUCUCACAGUCACAUGCAGUCAGCAGAGACAUGCCAGAGGCCAGCACUGCAGCCCCAAACCCACAGCAACCUCCAGCCACCUCUUCCUCCCAGCAGCUGUUAGAAUCUUGAGCUCUGAAAUUCAUAAGCUCAGAGGCAGGCUCCAAAAUAGAGCAUGAUAGAGAGAAGUAAGAGUCAGUGAAAGGGAAGUUAUACUAUGAGUCUGAGUACCCUGAUCUACCUAGGAUGUCUUAGUUUCUCAUUUAUCAUGACCAAGCAUAGGUGAGAUCUGCCACAGGGAUCAUUUGCAACUCAUUGGUCAUCACAGAAAAUCAGCUGUUGGUGAAAGGAGGAGACCUUAGAAGUUAAGACAGGCUGCUAUUUUCCUUGGAAGAAGGCAGAAUUGCCUCAAUCAGAUAACAGCACUUGCAUUCUGCACAUUCUGAAGACAUCCAGCACUCAGUAAAUCACAUAAACACACACAGAGAAGACCAUGAAUGAUGUGAGAAGGCAGCUUUUGUACACAGGGAUGUGCAAGAGCUGGGUGACAAGACAACCUCAUGAAACAUAGUUUUGCCUGCAGAUGAAUUGCAGCUACUGUGAAGCAGCAGUUUUACAUGCUCUGUGGAUGUUUUAAAGCCCCAGCUCUAAGGCACCACACCCCACAGCAGUGACAUUAGGGUGCCUCUGUGCCUGCCUCAAGAACAGUCAGCUUUUC